AGAGUUUGAUCCUGGCUCAGGACGAACGCUGGCGGCGUGCCUAAUACAUGCAAGUCGAGCGAGCGGAACUAACAGAUUUACUUCGGUAAUGACGUUAGGAAAGCGAGCGGCGGAUGGGUGAGUAACACGUGGGGAACCUGCCCCAUAGUCUGGGAUACCACUUGGAAACAGGUGCUAAUACCGGAUAAGAAAGCAGAUCGCAUGAUCAGCUUUUAAAAGGCGGCGUAAGCUGUCGCUAUGGGAUGGCCCCGCGGUGCAUUAGCUAGUUGGUAAGGUAAAGGCUUACCAAGGCGAUGAUGCAUAGCCGAGUUGAGAGACUGAUCGGCCACAUUGGGACUGAGACACGGCCCAAACUCCUACGGGAGGCAGCAGUAGGGAAUCUUCCACAAUGGACGCAAGUCUGAUGGAGCAACGCCGCGUGAGUGAAGAAGGUUUUCGGAUCGUAAAGCUCUGUUGUUGGUGAAGAAGGAUAGAGGUAGUAACUGGCCUUUAUUUGACGGUAAUCAACCAGAAAGUCACGGCUAACUACGUGCCAGCAGCCGCGGUAAUACGUAGGUGGCAAGCGUUGUCCGGAUUUAUUGGGCGUAAAGCGAGCGCAGGCGGAAGAAUAAGUCUGAUGUGAAAGCCCUCGGCUUAACCGAGGAACUGCAUCGGAAACUGUUUUUCUUGAGUGCAGAAGAGGAGAGUGGAACUCCAUGUGUAGCGGUGGAAUGCGUAGAUAUAUGGAAGAACACCAGUGGCGAAGGCGGCUCUCUGGUCUGCAACUGACGCUGAGGCUCGAAAGCAUGGGUAGUGAACAGGAUUAGAUACCCUGGUAGUCCAUGCCGUAAACGAUGAGUGCUAAGUGUUGGGAGGUUUCCGCCUCUCAGUGCUGCAGCUAACGCAUUAAGCACUCCGCCUGGGGAGUACGACCGCAAGGUUGAAACUCAAAGGAAUUGACGGGGGCCCGCACAAGCGGUGGAGCAUGUGGUUUAAUUCGAAGCAACGCGAAGAACCUUACCAGGUCUUGACAUCUAGUGCCAUUUGUAGAGAUACAAAGUUCCCUUCGGGGACGCUAAGACAGGUGGUGCAUGGCUGUCGUCAGCUCGUGUCGUGAGAUGUUGGGUUAAGUCCCGCAACGAGCGCAACCCUUGUUAUUAGUUGCCAGCAUUAAGUUGGGCACUCUAAUGAGACUGCCGGUGACAAACCGGAGGAAGGUGGGGAUGACGUCAAGUCAUCAUGCCCCUUAUGACCUGGGCUACACACGUGCUACAAUGGGCAGUACAACGAGAAGCGAGCCUGCGAAGGCAAGCGAAUCUCUGAAAGCUGUUCUCAGUUCGGACUGCAGUCUGCAACUCGACUGCACGAAGCUGGAAUCGCUAGUAAUCGCGGAUCAGCACGCCGCGGUGAAUACGUUCCCGGGCCUUGUACACACCGCCCGUCACACCAUGGGAGUCUGCAAUGCCCAAAGCCGGUGGCCUAACCUUCGGGAAGGAGCCGUCUAAGGCAGGGCAGAUGACUGGGGUGAAGUCGUAACAAGGUAGCCGUAGGAGAACCUGCGGCUG
This 1544-nucleotide ribosomal RNA is filed under the name Lactobacillus crispatus. Its description in RNAcentral is "bacterial SSU rRNA". It matches the Rfam family "Bacterial small subunit ribosomal RNA". RNAcentral also lists the same sequence under 2 other names. Lineage: Bacteria; Bacillati; Bacillota; Bacilli; Lactobacillales; Lactobacillaceae. The record is from RNAcentral.